UACGUAGGGGGCGAGCGUUGUCCGGAAUCAUUGGGCGUAAAGCGCGUGUAGGCGGCCCGGUAAGUCCGCUGUGAAAGUCCAGGGCUCAACCCUGGGAUGCCGGUGGAUACUGUCGGGCUCGAGUCCGGAAGAGGCGAGUGGAAUUCCCGGUGUAGUGGUGAAAUGCGUAGAGAUCGGGAGGAACACCCGUGGCGAAGGCGGCUCACUGGGCUGACCUUGACGCUGAGGCGCGAAGGCGUGGGGAGCGAACGGG
This 253-nucleotide ribosomal RNA is filed under the name uncultured bacterium. RNAcentral describes it as "partial 16S ribosomal RNA". It matches the Rfam family "Bacterial small subunit ribosomal RNA", at positions 524 to 776 of the family's 1533-position model. The record is from RNAcentral.